This is a small nuclear RNA of Myotis lucifugus (little brown bat), 105 nucleotides long. The record is from Ensembl. Lineage: Eukaryota; Metazoa; Chordata; Mammalia; Chiroptera; Vespertilionidae.
GUGCUCACUUCAGUAGCACAUAUACUAAAAUUGAAACAAUGCAGAGAAGAUUAGCAUGGCCCCUCACACGAUGACAUGCAAAUUCAUGAAGCAAGUGCUGCUCCA